RNAcentral lists this signal recognition particle RNA (351 nucleotides) under Piliocolobus tephrosceles (Ugandan red Colobus). RNAcentral's name for it is "Metazoan signal recognition particle RNA (ENSPTEG00000012806.1)". The stretch from base 1 to 298 matches the Rfam family "Metazoan signal recognition particle RNA". Rfam says of the family: The signal recognition particle (SRP) is a universally conserved ribonucleoprotein. It is involved in the co-translational targeting of proteins to membranes. The record is from RNAcentral. Lineage: Eukaryota; Metazoa; Chordata; Mammalia; Primates; Cercopithecidae.
GCUGGGAUUACAGGCUUGAGUCGUGCCUGUAGUCCCAGCUACUCGGGAGGCUGAGGUGGGAGGAUCGCUUGAGCCUAGGAGUUCUGGGCUGUAGUGCGCUAUGCCCAUCGGGUGUCCGCACUAAGUUCGGCAUCAAUAUGGUGACCUCCCAGGAGCGGGUGACCACCAGGUUGCCUAAGGAGGGGUGAACCGGCCCAGGUCGGAAACGGAGCAGGUCAAAACUCCCGUGCUGAUCACUCUGACUUUUCAAAGCUGGAUCAAAAGGAAAACACCUGGGUCUGGGGGCAGGGAACCUAAGGCCAAUUAACACAAAAUUCCUAAAGCUAAACCAAAGGGAAAAACCCCAUCUCC